Molecule: long non-coding RNA, 581 nt
Organism: Helianthus annuus (common sunflower)
Lineage: Eukaryota; Viridiplantae; Streptophyta; Magnoliopsida; Asterales; Asteraceae
Exons: 2
Source: RefSeq, a predicted model, not a curated record
AGCUAGUCGGUCUUCCAUGUUUCGUAGGGAAAAUAUGUGUUUUAACGGCACCAAAAGGAUAUACAGAGAAACAACCCUUUUUACUACAACUAGAUUUUAAAUUUUGAAUAAAACCAAUGAUAUAAAAGCUUGUAUCUUAGAUGUCAUCCUAGCAGUGGUGGAUUUACGUUUUGGGGAUGGUGGGCACAGCGUACACUCACGGCCUCAUCCACAUAGUGAGUGUGACUGUUAUAUUCUUCCAUCGGUGGUGGGAUUUAAAGUUUCUGGUUACAGAUCACCGAUGCACACCAGGUUUUUCGUGAAAUGGCCUCUUUGAAGUCGCCGGAGGAGUUUGGCGCUCGGAAUGUUGGGAAACAAGAUAAGGUAACUAAAGUGGAUGUGCGCACGGUCCUACUCUUGCUCGUGGAUGUUGUUUAUGUUUACUUUUGAAUAAAGUUGUAAACUUCCAGACAAUAUGUUGUCUCGUGAUGUAAACACUUAAUCUACGUUUUCAGUAAUGUAAUGUUUUGGAUAUUUGAAGUUAUUUUUACGGGCAUGUAGUAUGUUUACCUUUCGUAUGCAAUGAGAAACUUUCAUGAUCA